Molecule: non-coding RNA, 135 nt
Filed under: Curtobacterium sp. Leaf261
Lineage: Bacteria; Bacillati; Actinomycetota; Actinomycetes; Micrococcales; Microbacteriaceae
Also listed under: 1 other name
Description: FMN riboswitch aptamer (RFN element)
Rfam family: FMN riboswitch aptamer (RFN element)
About the family: The RFN element is a highly conserved domain that is found frequently in the 5'-untranslated regions of prokaryotic mRNAs that encode for flavin mononucleotide (FMN) biosynthesis and transport proteins. This element is a metabolite-dependent riboswitch that directly binds FMN in the absence of proteins. In Bacillus subtilis, the riboswitch most likely controls gene expression by causing premature transcription termination within the 5' untranslated region of the ribDEAHT operon and precluding access to the ribosome-binding site of ypaA mRNA.
Source: Rfam by way of RNAcentral
AAAGCGCUCCGGGGUCGGUGGGAUUCCGAACCGGUGGUGACAGUCCACGAGCUGCGUGCGGGCCUCGGUCCGGACGUGGUUGACCCGGCGGAACUCCGGGACCGACGGUGAGAGUCCGGAUGGGAGGCGCGCUGG